UUUAAGUGGUCUCUCAGUAUGUAAAUACAGAGCUAACUUUUACACAGAUUAAGAAUGAAAUUAUAGAAAGUAUAGAUUACUUAAAACAUUCUAAGAAAGCUAGCAGAUGUAGAUAAUUGAUUUAGAAGUUUUUUGACUAGUGAUUUCCUUUCUGUUUGAGGCUGUAGAGAUGUGAGCAGACCUCCUGGAAGGUGGCUUAAAUCUCUAGAGUGCUCUUCAGGUGUAACUAUUUGGUUGUUAUGGUAAUAAACGUAUAACUCCCUCAUGAUGCUCAGUCCAGCGGUCUGCCAUGUAGUUACGGGAACCACUGGUCCUCGAAGGAGGAUCCGGUCAUUAGUGUACUUGAGCAACUACUUCUCUUUGACCCAUGGCCGCACCUCUCACGUGGCUGGCCAGACUUUGCAUAGAUACAAGUGCCAUUAUACCUUCCUUUAUCAUUUUUAG
RNAcentral lists this long non-coding RNA (444 nucleotides) under Capsicum annuum. RNAcentral's name for it is "long non-coding RNA (CANN_LNC014493)". The record is from RNAcentral. Lineage: Eukaryota; Viridiplantae; Streptophyta; Magnoliopsida; Solanales; Solanaceae.